GUUGUGUGGUUCUUGGGGUCUGAGCCCUGGCCUUGCCUUCACUAGCUCUGCUGCCUCAUCCAUGAUACAUUACACGAGGUUUCUAGGGCCACCUCAGCUAGGGAGAUAACUCUGCUAUGAGAUACACAGGGAUGGCAUAGAGAAUGACUUUAGUUCUGUGUUCGAGAGCCUGACUGUCAGCACAGUGCCCUGGUUUUCAGUCCCCAGCACCGGUGUGUAUUGGGGUGUAAAAAGGCCAAUUUCAUUAACAGAUGUGGAAAAGCUCAGGUACUGUGUGCAGGAUCUGAAAGUAAAGUGAUUCUUCUAUUCUCAUGUUUACUGUUAUUAAAUACAGAAAAGCAGGCUGGGCCAAACCACAAGGCAAACCAAACCAGAAAGCUACACCACACACAAACCACCCAGAUGCACGAGCUGUGCUUUUUCCUAGUGUCCUGGAGUUCAUGAAGGGACAUGGAAUCCAACUGUCAUUUCCCGAGGCCCCUCUCCUACCUUCCCAAGAGACACCAAUUCCUACCUGAUGCUCAUUCCUCAAGUUCAAAUAAGGCUUGGCCUGGACCACAGCUCUGGAGUUCUAUAAGCUCACAGGAGGGCUCUGCAGCUCAGGAGGCAGAUGUGGGCCUGUCUCCCUUUCUCUGUCUCCCCUUCCUGCGCUGCAGGCCAGAGUGGACUGGGCAAGUCGACGCUGGUCAACACACUAUUCAAGUCUCAAGUGAGCCGGAAGGCCUCCAGCUGGAACCGG
RNAcentral lists this long non-coding RNA (739 nucleotides) under Rattus norvegicus (Norway rat). RNAcentral's name for it is "long non-coding RNA NONRATT026166". Lineage: Eukaryota; Metazoa; Chordata; Mammalia; Rodentia; Muridae. The record is from RNAcentral.